UACGGAGGGGGCUAGCGUUGUUCGGAAUUACUGGGCGUAAAGCGCGUGUAGGCGGCAGCGUGUGUCGGGCGUGAAAUCCCACGGCUCAACCGUGGAAGUGCACUCGAAACUGCGCAGCUAGAGUCCUGGAGAGGAAGGUGGAAUGCUUGGUGUAGAGGUGAAAUUCGUAGAUAUCAAGCGGAACACCGGUGGCGAAGGCGGCCUUCUGGACAGUGACUGACGCUGAGACGCGAAAGCGUGGGGAGCAAACAGG
Molecule: ribosomal RNA, 253 nt
Filed under: uncultured bacterium
Lineage: Bacteria
Description: partial 16S ribosomal RNA
Rfam family: Bacterial small subunit ribosomal RNA
Source: RNAcentral